RNAcentral lists this long non-coding RNA (8752 nucleotides) under Lactuca sativa (garden lettuce). Its description in RNAcentral is "long non-coding RNA (LSAT_LNC002361)". The record is from RNAcentral. Lineage: Eukaryota; Viridiplantae; Streptophyta; Magnoliopsida; Asterales; Asteraceae.
CCCUAUAAAUAGAAGGCAUAAGCUUCGAGUUUAAGCACACAUUCACAAACCUCCAGAUACUCUCACACUCUUCUAAAGCUCCAGAGACCAUUCCAUCACCUUGGUUUCCGCACUCGAGCCCCCGACGAAAGAUUUACGCUGCAGAGACCCUCGAAGAGCCCGACGACGCAACCAUCCGCGGUCGAAGUUCUGCUCAAACCUAGCCUCUCUCUCUUCAAACUUAACAAGUGAGUUCAUACCCCUAUUUUUCCAUUCUUUUCACGUUUUAGGGGGGGAAUACAAGUACAUUACAAGUCAAAGUAUCAUUUCAUAAACAUAAUUAUAAUAUCGUUCUUAUAGGGUUUUGAUACAAAAAUAACGUUAUGUUUAAAGGGCUAAUAUAUCACCAAGUUGUUCUUACUAUAUGGAAACAUACUUUUGAGAAACUAUAAUGCGUGUAGUAUUCAAGUGAUUCAUACAUUUUACAUAAACAUCUCGACAAAUGAAAUGCUUUCAAAGGAAGUAAAGUCUUUACUAUCGUAAAUCUGUUUAUACUAAGUAAUGUGAGACAUUUAAACUUCAACGUACUCGUGUGUAUGCAUUUCAAGUCCUGUAUUAUAUACCAUAAUCUCUUGGAGAGAGAGCGUGAUACUUGUGUAUAGAUCUAUACGGGAUUGACAAUCCCACACCUAAGCUGUUAGCUACAGCUAGGCCGGCAGGCCUGGGGUGACAAAUGUCAUAACAGUUCCAACGCCUGAAGAACGUUGUUACAGGCCAUCAAUGUCAAUAGCAUGGUUAUAAAACUCACAUUAAAGUAUAAAAACAAGUUUGAUUUACGAGAUUCAUCUAUGCAUUUCAGUUUUCCAUUUUAUUGUUAACACAAAGUUUAUCACUAUUAUACAAGUAUGGAAAACACUAACGCAUUUCAACACGGGAAACUUUUCAAAUCAUUUAUAGAAAAUAUUGGAUUUUCUGAAAACCUCGUUCAUCGAUUUACUAUCAAAAAGGACAUACUUUUCAAAGCAAAACUCUUAUGAACUCACCAACUUAAUUGUUGACACUUUUUCGAAACCACUUGUAUUUCUCAGGGAAUCAGUAAUACAGGUAACCACCAGCUUUUGGAGAAAGGAACACUAAGGAUGUUUUAUUAUUGAACAUUUAUCAUCUCAUUGUAAUAUUCUUUUGCUAAUAUGUAUAACGCAACAACAUACGUUUUCAUUAUAUAUGUGAUGGUUGUGUUACUUUCUUUACAAUAUUCAAUGGUUGUGAUACUACGUGAAGUCAUCCACCCCCGAAUGUUUCCGCCAUUCUGGUUUGGGGGUGUGACAGAUUGGUAUCAGAGCAUUGUUUAUAGUGAACUAAGUAUAUCGAACCACAUACGAUAUACAAACUAUAAAUGCAAAGGGGACCAAAAACCCUCUGAUGAAACAUUUUCAUGAACAAAAUACUUUCUUUUAAAGAUAUACAUUUUUACAAGCAUGCAUUAAUCUCGUAUCAUAACAAGUUUUACUAAAAAGUAUUAAGGCAAGUUACGACACUACGAUUGAGCCUCGGGGUAUGUAAUCAGGUCGAGAAUAAAUAUAGCCUGAUCAACUAUAUUUAUCCUGGAUUUGACCAACGUACGUCGAGGAAUGGUCGUAGUGGACAACAAGCCAAAAACUUACCAAAUACAAAUUAUUUUAGUUUCGCCAAGUUGAAAUAUUAUAGGAGUAUUAUUAAAAAUAGUUGUACAAUAAAAAUUAUAGUUAAAAAUAAUAAGUCGUUAAAUAGAAAUUUCUUUUCUUAUAACGUUCUCAUACAUCUAUCCUAGUACAGACAAAUGGCCGGAUUCCAUUUACCAGGAGAUCCCUACUACCCAAACCAAGGCAACGGCGGUUGGAUAGAAGAAGACCCGGAGGAAGACCCAGAGGAAAUCGAAGAAGAGGUCGAGGAAGAACCCGAAGGGGUUAUCGAGGGAGAAUUCGAAGUCGAAGUCGGAGAGGAAUUCGAAGUCGACGAAGAGAUCGAGGAGAUUUCUAGCGGGACAGACUCCGAGCCAGAAGUGUACGACCCUCCCAUCCCUCAUCCUCCCGAAAUCAGACCAUAUCAACCGGGACCCAUUCCCAUGUGGGGAAGUCACCUCUACUACUGGAGCCGCCAACAAGGUGUACGCCCUCCUUUCGGCAUGUGCCGAGAUUUUUACAAUGUCAGUGGGGGAAGCUCAGCUGAUCGAGCACUUCCUGUUAUUGUGAACGCUAUAGCUACCCAGAACUACGAGACGGACAGGCAAGCAGCCAGAGUUCGCGAGGUCAAUGCUGCUACCCAAGGUAACGCCGCUGACAUCCGCCGUUUGGAAGGACUACAUGAGAAUACCCAAAUCUACACGGGGACACUUCAGAACCAAAUGAUAACGGCUCUGGCAGAUAUAAGAGAGAUGAAGGAACAACAAGCAGAUCUUGAGAGGCGACUGAUGGGAGUCAAACGGUCGGAUGCCGAAUCUAGCUCCAAACGCCGCAAGUAGAACUUGUUCGAUGCCCAACAAUUUUGUUAUAGAUUAGGAUUUCGGAUAAAAGUUUUUCCCUUAUUUCCCUUGUUUUCCCUGUUGUAUCCGUAAUCGGAGAUCUCUAGGAGGAUCAAAUUUUCCAAACAACAACAUGUAAUGUAAAACACCUCAGGUGUGACCUAUAUGUAUGAAUAUGAAGUAUUUCUUACCUCUCAAAAAUUACGAGUUUUUAAUUUUCUAUGCCUACCUUGAAACCAUAAACUAAAGCCAAAACAAAUUGCAAGAUACAAUUAAUACUCGAUUGUCAAAACAUUAGAAACUUAUAGCAUUCAUUCUUAUUUUUCUCCACCAGAACAUGCCUCCUCGUAGAUCAACACGCAGAAACUCAACUUCAACACCACCUCCACCACCUCCUCCAAUUAUGGACACCGUUAUGUUCCAGACUGCUGUAACCGCUGCUGUAACUGCAGCAAUGGCUCAAAUGAGCAACAACGGAUCGGGGGGAGGAACAAACAGUUUUACAAAUGGCCAAGGUCAAAGCCGUUCAGGGGUAUGCACUUACAAAGACUUCACCAACGGAAAACCUAUUCCCUUUUGCGGGACUGGGGGAGUAUUGGCUCUAUCUCAAUGGAUAGAGAAAACAGAAGCUGUAUUCGAAAUCUGUGCAUGUCCUGAAGAAAGCAAAGUAAAGUUCGCCGCUUUUACUUUCUCUGAACGCGCCCUGACAUGGUGGAACGGCCACGUCCAGACACUAACCCUGGUGGUGGCAAACUCCAUGGGUUGGGAAAACCUGAAAAGAAUGCUCCUUCGAGAAUACUGCCCAAGAGGCGAGAUUCAGAAGCUUGAACAGGAACUGUGGAACCUCUCGAUGGUAGGAUCGGACAUAGCUGGUUACACCAACAGGUUCAGUGACUUAAUAACACUUUGCCCAGGAAUGUUAACCCUGGAGAGCCAAAAGGUUGAGAGAUACAUUUGGGGACUAUCACCCCAACUUCGAGGAAGUGUGCUAGCUUCCAGACCCUUGACUUUCGCCAGCGCCAAGGAACUAGCGCAAUCUCUUGUUGAUCAUGGUGUCUGUCAAGGAGUCGCGGCGAUUAUGGCUGAACCAACCAAAGGGAACAGCAACAAUGAAAUCAAUGCCAACAACAACAACAAGAAGAAAUUUUGGAACAAAAGGAAGGGGCAAACUUCACAAGAACCUUCAAAGAAACAAAUGGUUGCGGUUUAUGCUGCUACUACCCCCACCACAACUCCUGCUACCUCUGCACCAACAAAACCAUAUGCAGGGAUUCUGCCCAAGUGCAGCAAGUGCAACUACCAUCACCAUGGUAUUUGUCGCGAGAUGCACUGCAAGAACUGUGACAGGAAAGGGCACACAGCCCGUUUCUGUAAAGCACCGGCACGACCAAUUACUCAGGUUCCUGGAACUGGGGUAAGCCGGGCAUGUUAUGGGUGCGGAGAGACUGGACACUUCAGGAGGGAUUGUCCCAAGGAAAGGAAUAUUGGCGGUGUGGGGAGAGUGCUGGCAGUAGGACAGAGAGAAGCAAUAGCGGACCCCACGGUGGUUACGGGUACGUUUCUACUCAACAACACUUAUGCAUGCAUACUUUUUGACUGCGGUGCGGAGAGAAGUUUUGUGAGUCAUAAAUUCAAACACCUACUUAAUCAAGAACCCCAACCACUCAAUAAAAUAUUCACUGUAGAAAUGGCAAACGGUAAAACAGAACACGCAAACGAUUUAUACGUAGGGUGCACACUAAAUUUAAACGAGCACUUGUUUCAAGUCGAUCUUAUGCCCAUUUCCAUAAGAAGUUUCGAUGUCAUCAUCGGUAUGGACUGGUUGAGCCUUCACCAUGCCGAUAUCCUUUGCCACGAAAGGGCUGUUCGCUUAAAUCUGCCAAACGGUGAAACUCUUGUCAUUUAUGGCGACAAACCUAGUUCAAGUUUACAAAUCAUUUCCUGUAUUAAAGCACAAAAGUAUCUUCGUAAGGAAUAUCAUGCCUUUCUAGCCCACGUAGUAGACAAGAAACGAGAAUCGAAAAACAUUAAAGAUAUUCCGGAAGUCUGCAACUUCCCGGAUAUUUUCCCAGAAGAUCUUCCAGGAAUCCCACCGGAACGUCAAGUCGAGUUCAGAAUCGACUUAAUCCCCGGGGCUACCCCUGUAGCAAAGUCGCCGUACCGUUUAGCCCCAGCCGAGAUGCAGGAACUAUCCAGUCAAUUAAACGAGCUGCUAAGCAAGGGAUUCAUCAGACCAAGUUUCUCACCAUGGGGAGCGCCAGUCCUAUUUGUGAAGAAGAAGGACGGAUCCUUUCGCAUGUGCAUCGAUUAUCGGGAGCUAAACAAACUCACAAUCAAGAACCGAUAUCCCUUACCGCGCAUAGACGAUCUAUUCGACCAACUGCAGGGGGCAAGCUACUUCUCAAAGAUCGAUCUAAGGUCUGGUUAUCACCAACUACGAGUACUGGAAGGAGACAUCCCCAAAACGGCUUUCCGAACACGUUAUGGUCACUACGAAUUUGUGGUAAUGCCCUUCGGAUUGACGAAUGCUCCAGCAGUGUUCAUGGACUUGAUGAACCGAGUAUGUCGUCCCUUCCUGGACAAGUUCGUGAUCGUGUUCAUAGAUGAUAUACUCAUCUAUUCAAGAAGCCAGGAAGAACACAGCAAACAUCUCCGCCAAGUACUGGAAACAUUAAGGGCAGAGAAACUUUACGCAAAAUUUUCCAAAUGUGAAUUUUGGAUUCGGGAAGUGGAUUUCCUAGGACAUGUUGUAAGCAAAGAAGGAAUACACGUGGACCCCUCCAAGAUAAAGGCAAUAGAUAGUUGGACUACUCCAAGAACCCCUACAGAAAUCCGGCAAUUUUUGGGACUCGCCGGGUAUUACCGAAGAUUCAUACCGAACUUUUCAAAGAUUGCCAAGCCACUUACCACCCUAACCCAGAAGAAUGUGACCUUCGACUGGGGAGAAAAACAAGACAGUGCAUUUCAGACACUAAAGCGAGCCUUAUGUAGUGCGCCCAUCCUAACCUUGCCAGAAGGAACGGAGGACUUCGUGGUCUAUUGUGAUGCUUCAAACCAAGGACUUGGGUGUGUCUUAAUGCAAAGAGGGAAGGUCAUCGCCUACGCCUCAAGACAACUAAAGACGCACGAAGUGAACUACACAACGCAUGAUCUUGAGCUAGGAGCAGUCGUCUUCGCUCUGAAGAUAUGGAGACACUAUCUCUACGGCACAAAAUGUACCAUCUUCACUGAUCAUAAAAGCCUCCAACAUAUCCUCAACCAGAAGGAACUCAACAUGAGACAGAGGCGAUGGGUAGAACUACUAAGUGAUUACGAGUGCGAAAUCCGAUAUCACCCCGGAAAGGCUAAUGUAGUGGCUGAUGCACUCAGUCGGAAGGAGUACUCAGGUCGCCGAGUGAAAUCCCUAACUAUGACAAUCCAUUCACACCUGUUCACGCAAAUCAAGGAAGCCCAAAUAGAAGCCUUGAAAUCCGAAAAUGUGACAGGAGAAGCCCUAAGAGGAAUGGAUAAGAACCUUGAGACCAAGAACAACGGAAUUCGUUAUUUCAUGGAUCGAAUUUGGAUACCGAAGUUUGGUGGAUUCAGAGAAAUCGUUAUGGACGAAGCCCAUAAAACACGAUACUCCAUACAUCCCGGCUCCGAUAAGAUGUAUCUCGAUCUCAAGAAGUUGUACUGGUGGCAAAACAUGAAAGCCGAAAUUGCUACCUACGUAAGCAAAUGCCUGACAUGUGCCAAAGUCAAGGUGGAAUAUCAGAAGCCCUCGGGUUUAUUACAACAACCAGAAAUACCCGAAUGGAAGUGGGAGCGGAUAACCAUGGAUUUCAUAACAAAGUUGCCCAAGACAACAAGCGGACUCGACACCAUUUGGGUAAUUGUCGACAGGUUAACUAAGUCAGCGCAUUUCCUACCGAUCAAAGAGACGGAUAAAUUGGAGAAGUUAACAAGGACAUACCUCAGAGAAAUUGUACGACUGCAUGGUGUGCCCAUAUCCAUUAUCUCGGACCGAGAUAGUAGAUUCACCUCAAGGUUCUGGCAGUCGCUACAAAAAGCUUUGGGGACAAGACUAGACAUGAGUACCGCUUAUCACCCACAAACCGACGGCCAGAGCGAGAGAACUAUACAAACCCUAGAAGACAUGCUGAGAGCUUGCGUAAUCGAUUUUGGCAAAGCAUGGGACACACAUCUACCAUUGGUCGAGUUCUCGUACAACAAUAGCUACCACACCAGUAUCAAGGCUGCCCCGUUCGAAGCCCUCUAUGGCCGCAAAUGCAGGUCACCUUUGUGCUGGGCCGAAGUGGGGGACACGCAACUAGCAAAAGGACAAGCAACUGACAACACGCUCACUGGACCAGAAAUCAUAAGGGAGACUACGGAGAAGAUUGUUCAAAUCCGAGAACGUCUAAAAGCAUCAAGAGAUAGACAAAAGAGUUACGCAGAUAAGAGACGCAAACCCUUGGAAUUCCAAGUUGGAGACCAUGUCCUACUCAAAGUCUCACCUUGGAAAGGUUUAAUACGCUUCGGAAAACGUGGAAAACUGAACCCUAGAUACAUCGGACCAUUCGAGAUCCUUGCCAGGAUCGGUCCAGUGGCUUACAAACUUAGACUACCUCAGGAACUCCACAACGUACACCCUACCUUUCACGUAUCAAAUCUAAAGAAGUGCUUAUCCGACGAGACCCUUGUCGUCCCUCUAGACGAAAUUGCAAUAAAUGAAAACCUUCAAUUUGUGGAGGAACCAGUAGAGAUCAUGGAUCGGGAAAUCAAAAGGACUAAACAAAGCCGCAUACCCAUUGUAAAGGUCCGCUGGAACGCCAAGCGAGGACCUGAAUACACCUGGGAACGCGAAGAUCAGAUGAAACAAAAGUACCCGCAUCUUUUUCCUAAAACUGUAAACUCUAUCUUAGAUUAAAUUUCGGGACGAAAUUCCCUUAACAGGGGGAUGAUGUGACAACCCUAUUUUUCCCAAAAAGCAUUGUAAACACUCGAAAGCUAAAAACAACGAAAUUAACCUCGAAAAUAAAGUGUUCAAGUAUCUAAGUUGGGAUGCAUCGAAUAUUAGAUAUCAUGCCAAGGUUUCCAAAAACAUAAAGAACGCUCAAAACCGGGUUAUAUUGAAGAAAUUAUAACCACUCGUAUAUUUACGACGCGACGUUAAAACAUUAUUUGACGUAAAAAGUAGAAUCUCAAUAAAAUGCAUUUUAAGCCUUAAGUAUCUAAACAAAAGUCGUAGAUCUCGUUGAAAGGUGAACGUACAUAAAAAGAUCGCCCAAAUUGGACCUCGUAUGAAGAAGUUACGAAUUUUCAAAGUUUCGUAACAGUAGUAGAGGGCUAAAAACUCGGAUUGAAGAUCGAGUGUUAUUUAGCUAACGCAACCUAAACGAAAGUUGAAGAUCUCCUCAGUAGUAAUAAAACAAUAAAAAGACAAACGAAAACCGACGUCGAAUAAAGAACCUAUGAAUUUUUAACGAACUUUAGGAGGCCCGGCCUAUUAAAAAUAUAUCAUUAAAAAUAAAGUCAAAACUAGCCGACGGAGUCUAAAUGAAAGUUGUAGAGCAUAAUCUCACCUACGCGUGGAUAUAAAGAACGCGAAAAACGGAGCUCGUACGCGAAAGUUACGGAAUUUAGAAGUCGGAAGCAGGGAUUACGCCCCGCGUACUCUGGGAGUACGCCCCGCGUACUAGACCCAGAGUCGAGUCUCAUCGGCCCGCCCAAGCUACGCUCGGCUAGACCCAGGAGUCCCAUCGACCCGCCCAAGCUACGCUAGCUAGACCCGAGUCGUAAGCCAUGACGCCAUCUUACGCCCCGCGUACUCCGGAAGUACGCGCCGCGUACGGGGGUUUCCAGCCCUAUAAAUAGAAGGCAUAAGCUUCGAGUUUAAGCACACAUUCACAAACCUCCAGAUACUCUCACACUCUUCUAAAGCUCCAGAGACCAUUCCAUCACCUUGGUUUCCGCACUCGAGCCCCCGACGAAAGAUUUACGCUGCAGAGAUCCCCGAAGAGCCCGACGACGCAACCAUCCGCGGUCGAAGUUCUGCUCAAACCUAGCCUCUCUCUCUUCAAACUUAACGAGUGAGUUCAUACCCCUACUUUUCAAUUCUUUUCACGUUUUAGGGGGGGAAUACAAGUACAUUACAAGUCAAAGUAUCAUUUCAUAAACAUAAUUAUAAUAUCGUUCUUAUAGGGUUUUGAUACAAAAAUAACGUUAUGUUUAAAGGGCUAAUAUAUCACCAAGUUGUUCUUACUAUAUGGAAACAUACUUUUGAGAAACUAU